UGUGAGCUCGAUGAGUAGGGCGGGACACGUGGUAUCCUGUCUGAAUAUGGGGGGACCAUCCUCCAAGGCUAAAUACUCCUGACUGACCGAUAGUGAACCAGUACCGUGAGGGAAAGGCGAAAAGAACCCCGGCGAGGGGAGUGAAAAAGAACCUGAAACCGUGUACGUACAAGCAGUGGGAGCCUCUUUAUGGGGUGACUGCGUACCUUUUGUAUAAUGGGUCAGCGACUUAUAUUCUGUAGCAAGGUUAACCGAAUAGGGGAGCCGAAGGGAAACCGAGUCUUAACUGGGCGUUAAGUUGCAGGGUAUAGACCCGAAACCCGGUGAUCUAGCCAUGGGCAGGUUGAAGGUUGGGUAACACUAACUGGAGGACCGAACCGACUAAUGUUGAAAAAUUAGCGGAUGACUUGUGGCUGGGGGUGAAAGGCCAAUCAAACCGGGAGAUAGCUGGUUCUCCCCGAAAGCUAUUUAGGUAGCGCCUCGUGAAUUCAUCUCCGGGGGUAGAGCACUGUUUCGGCAAGGGGGUCAUCCCGACUUACCAACCCGAUGCAAACUGCGAAUACCGGAGAAUGUUAUCACGGGAGACACACGGCGGGUGCUAACGUCCGUCGUGAAGAGGGAAACAACCCAGACCGCCAGCUAAGGUCCCAAAGUCAUGGUUAAGUGGGAAACGAUGUGGGAAGGCCCAGACAGCCAGGAUGUUGGCUUAGAAGCAGCCAUCAUUUAAAGAAAGCGUAAUAGCUCACUGGUCGAGUCGGCCUGCGCGGAAGAUGUAACGGGGCUAAACCAUGCACCGAAGCUGCGGCAGCGACACUAUGUGUUGUUGGGUAGGGGAGCGUUCUGUAAGCCUGUGAAGGUGGCCUGUGAGGGUUGCUGGAGGUAUCAGAAGUGCGAAUGCUGACAUAAGUAACGAUAAAGCGGGUGAAAAGCCCGCUCGCCGGAAGACCAAGGGUUCCUGUCCAACGUUAAUCGGGGCAGGGUGAGUCGACCCCUAAGGCGAGGCCGAAAGGCGUAGUCGAUGGGAAACAGGUUAAUAUUCCUGUACUUGGUGUUACUGCGAAGGGGGGACGGAGAAGGCUAUGUUGGCCGGGCGACGGUUGUCCCGGUUUAAGCGUGUAGGCUGGUUUUCCAGGCAAAUCCGGAAAACCAAGGCUGAGGCGUGAUGACGAGGCACUACGGUGCUGAAGCGACAAAUGCCCUGCUUCCAGGAAAAGCCUCUAAGCAUCAGGUAACAUCAAAUCGUACCCCAAACCGACACAGGUGGUCAGGUAGAGAAUACCAAGGCGCUUGAGAGAACUCGGGUGAAGGAACUAGGCAAAAUGGUGCCGUAACUUCGGGAGAAGGCACGCUGAUAUGUAGGUGAAGCGACUUGCUCGUGGAGCUGAAAUCAGUCGAAGAUACCAGCUGGCUGCAACUGUUUAUUAAAAACACAGCACUGUGCAAACACGAAAGUGGACGUAUACGGUGUGACGCCUGCCCGGUGCCGGAAGGUUAAUUGAUGGGGUUAGCGGUAACGCGAAGCUCUUGAUCGAAGCCCCGGUAAACGGCGGCCGUAACUAUAACGGUCCUAAGGUAGCGAAAUUCCUUGUCGGGUAAGUUCCGACCUGCACGAAUGGCGUAAUGAUGGCCAGGCUGUCUCCACCCGAGACUCAGUGAAAUUGAACUCGCUGUGAAGAUGCAGUGUACCCGCGGCAAGACGGAAAGACCCCGUGAACCUUUACUAUAGCUUGACACUGAACAUUGAGCCUUGAUGUGUAGGAUAGGUGGGAGGCUUUGAAGUGUGGACGCCAGUCUGCAUGGAGCCGACCUUGAAAUACCACCCUUUAAUGUUUGAUGUUCUAACGUUGGCCCGUAAUCCGGGUUGCGGACAGUGUCUGGUGGGUAGUUUGACUGGGGCGGUCUCCUCCUAAAGAGUAACGGAGGAGCACGAAGGUUGGCUAAUCCUGGUCGGACAUCAGGAGGUUAGUGCAAUGGCAUAAGCCAGCUUGACUGCGAGCGUGACGGCGCGAGCAGGUGCGAAAGCAGGUCAUAGUGAUCCGGUGGUUCUGAAUGGAAGGGCCAUCGCUCAACGGAUAAAAGGUACUCCGGGGAUAACAGGCUGAUACCGCCCAAGAGUUCAUAUCGACGGCGGUGUUUGGCACCUCGAUGUCGGCUCAUCACAUCCUGGGGCUGAAGUAGGUCCCAAGGGUAUGGCUGUUCGCCAUUUAAAGUGGUACGCGAGCUGGGUUUAGAACGUCGUGAGACAGUUCGGUCCCUAUCUGCCGUGGGCGCUGGAGAACUGAGGGGGGCUGCUCCUAGUACGAGAGGACCGGAGUGGACGCAUCACUGGUGUUCGGGUUGUCAUGCCAAUGGCACUGCCCGGUAGCUAAAUGCGGAAGAGAUAAGUGCUGAAAGCAUCUAAGCACGAAACUUGCCCCGAGAUGAGUUCUCCCUGACUCCUUGAGA
This 2445-nucleotide ribosomal RNA is filed under the name Escherichia coli. Its description in RNAcentral is "partial 23S ribosomal RNA". It matches the Rfam family "Bacterial large subunit ribosomal RNA", at positions 398 to 2833 of the family's 2925-position model. The record is from RNAcentral. Lineage: Bacteria; Pseudomonadati; Pseudomonadota; Gammaproteobacteria; Enterobacterales; Enterobacteriaceae.